RNAcentral lists this ribosomal RNA (549 nucleotides) under uncultured bacterium. Its description in RNAcentral is "bacterial SSU rRNA". It matches the Rfam family "Bacterial small subunit ribosomal RNA", at positions 358 to 917 of the family's 1533-position model. The record is from RNAcentral.
GAAAUAUUGCGCAAUGGACGAAAGUCUGACGCAGCGACGCCUCGUGAGGGACGAAGGUCUUCGGAUUGUAAACCUCUUUCAGCAGGGACGAAGCGAAAGUGACGGUACCUGCAGAAGAAGCACCGGCUAACUAUGUGCCAGCAGCCGCGGUAAUACAUAGGGUGCAAGCGUUGUCCGGAUUUAUUGGGCGUAAAGAGUUCGUAGGCGGUUUCUCGCGUCGGAUGUGAAAACUCAGGGCUCAACCCUGAGCCUGCAUUCGAUACGGGGAAACUUGAGGACGGCAGGGGAGACUGGAACUCCUGGUGUAGCGGUGGAAUGCGCAGAUAUCAGGAAGAACACCAAUGGCGAAGGCAGGUCUCUGGGCCGAUUCUGACGCUGAGGAACGAAAGCGUGGGGAGCAAACAGGAUUAGAUACCCUGGUAGUCCACGCCGUAAACGAUGGACGCUAGGUGUGGGGAACAUUCCACGUUCUCUGCGCCGCAGCUAACGCAUUAAGCGUCCCGCCUGGGGAGUACGACCGCAAGGUUAAAACUCAAAUGAAUUGACGGA